RNAcentral lists this ribosomal RNA (190 nucleotides) under uncultured Chlamydiales bacterium. Its description in RNAcentral is "partial 16S ribosomal RNA". It matches the Rfam family "Bacterial small subunit ribosomal RNA", at positions 317 to 499 of the family's 1533-position model. The record is from RNAcentral. Lineage: Bacteria; Pseudomonadati; Chlamydiota; Chlamydiia; Chlamydiales.
GACUGAGACACUGCCCAGACUCCUACGGGAGGCUGCAGUCGAGAAUCUUUCGCAAUGGACGAAAGUCUGACGAAGCGACGCCGCGUGUGUGAUGAAGGCUCUAGGGUUGUAAAGCACUUUCGCUUGGGAANUAAGAGAAGUUGGUUAAUACCCGCUUGAUUUGACCGUACCAGGAAAGGAGCACCGGCUA